CCCACACACGAAGCGAUUUUAGAAGGGCGAUUUGAGAAGCGCGACUCCAAAGUCAAUGCAAGUCUAUUGGAGCCUUCAGACGUGGUCGCGACUCGCUGGGUUGGAAGCGUGAAGAGCGAUUCCCGAGCGACUUGAGUUACAUAUUUUACUAUGAAGCCCCACAUACGAGGCGACAGCUUCCCGCGAUUUCAUCACUACUUGCAUCUCAUUGGCUGGUCGGGGUGAGAUUAGAGCCAAUGAGCGAUCAGGCAGAGUUUUCCUCCACGUGGAGUCCGAGCGCGGGGCAGCUGGGAGGGGGAGUGCGGGAUAACUGGUGACAUCCGGCUUGCAGGAGUGCAUCACAACCACGCAUAGCAAGAUGAGUGACCAGGGAUCUGCUGACCGCUUUGAUACCGAAUUAUUAAUAGAUGAAAUAUAAAUAGCUUCCCGCGUCAUUGGUGGGUGUUAUGGCCAAUGAGAGAGCAGUCCACGUGGGUACAGUAGCGGGGAUUUGGGGGUAUGCUGUCGUUGCUACACCAGUCGCUGUGUGUGUGGGGUCAACCCAGAAUCGCGCUUCUCAAGUCGUGCUUCUAAAAUCGCUUCGUGUGUGGGGGCCUAAGAGUGCAUUAAUCAACAGUUAAUGGGCAACUUCGCCAAUCUAGGGUAUUGAGGAAGGACCAACACUUGCAGCUGGAUUUACCUUGUCGACUCCACAUCUUUGUCAACGGCUAGAUUGCCUUCUACAUAGUGUAACAUGUGAAAUGCCUGACCAGGAAACUUCACAAGAAUGUUUCCGGAAGCACUGCAGCAUCAUGAAAACAUCACUGGUUCAUAUGUCAUCGUGUAGUGAGUUUACAUCAUGUUCAAAUGUAAUAUGUCUGCUCUUUAGUCCGCUGUUAUCACACUGGAAAGGUUGUUGUGGUCCCUGUUCCAUCUGUGGACCAAUUAAUGUGAAGUACAAUAAGAAAAAAAUUUUGAGCAAGAUUCAUCCAAAUAUUGUAACAAGUGAUGGAAAACUGAUAAAUGUUGCAUUUGAAGAGUAUGAAAAAAUAGAUGAUUGGAGGAUACGAGCCAUUCCAUAUCAUCUCAGGGAGUAUAUGAUGGCAGAUAAGUCAUCACAUUCUGCAGUAGUUCAGCAAUAUUUAAGUAAGAAAGCUGAAGGAAUAGGGUGUUUUUCUUCUGGGCUUACCUGGAACCAGUUGCCUGGCAUAGACUUUGAUUUGAAUAAGUUAGUAAGAAAAUAGUGAAAACCAUAUUUUAUCAAUAAUCCCACACCUAUUAUGUCUUAUUCAUUGAAAACUUCAUGAGUACCAUAUUCUGGUGACAGUCAUCAAAAUCAAGUUAUGGAAGAUUUAGUUAAUGAGAAAUUUAUAUGUCUUGGUAUUAUGAUGAAAUUCAACUGAAUAUAAUGUUUUAGAAAGCAUAAUAUAAAUAUAGUGAUGACAAUGCUAGUAUUGCAUAGAGACAAGUUUGUGUGAAAGGGAAGCCAUAUAUGUGGCAAGUUUUUAUAACCGUUACAAUUUGAAUUAUGACAUAACCUAUCAGGUGUUAUGAAUUAUGACAGUUAUGAAUUAUGACAGAACCUAUCAGGUGUUACAGCUUUAAUUUUCAUGCAAGAAAACUGUGUGCAACUAUGUGAACAAUGUAUAUGUCACGAUAAUAAAUAUUUUUUAGAGCAUAUACCCUAUAUAUCUUUAUAUUUUAAAAGAUUUGAAGCCCUUCACAAAUUUUGUAAUCAUUAAAGCACUUACGUGGCUUAAAACUUCAAAUUUGUAAUCAUUCCAUAAAAGGUUGAUUUGACAAUUGUCUCAUAAAGUAUCUUUGAAAAGCAAAGUUGUUUCAUGAUGAAAUUCAUCAUUGUGUUUGAAAACUGAUAGAUAUCUGGAAACUCAUGAAAUUUGUAUUACAUAAUUUGGAAAUUCAUGGUAUGCUGGUUACUUUACUUGAACAACUGUCGGGAAAGUUUUAAAUGUCAUAUUGUCAUAUCUUUUAUACUUUGUUAAAAGCAUUAUCACUUACAUCUUUUAUAGUUACUUGUAAAUACCUUGAUUUUUCACUGUAACAAAUUUUUGUAUUGUGAAAAAUUAAAGAAAAAGAUAUUUUAAUGAUUUAUUUUAAUACCCACAUAAAUUGGAUUGCAUUCUUCAUCAGUUGUUACAUAUAUAAUUAUUUCUUACAUAAUUAGCUGACUAUAUCUUAAUAUUUGCUAGCAACAAGGCUCCACAUGGGCAUACAAACUACACACACCUACAGGAGCACAGUUUAUAUACAAAAAAAUUAAAUGUUCAAAUAUAGUUUGUGAAAAAAUUUUGAGCCUUACUAAUGAAAACCAUAUAUGACUAAACUUUUUCUAUCAUCUCAGGAACUGCUUUGAAGAGAUCUGCCAC
RNAcentral lists this long non-coding RNA (2366 nucleotides) under Portunus trituberculatus (swimming crab). Its description in RNAcentral is "uncharacterized LOC123512159, transcript variant X1". The record is from RNAcentral. Lineage: Eukaryota; Metazoa; Arthropoda; Malacostraca; Decapoda; Portunidae.